GAUGAACGCUGGCGGCGUGCUUAACACAUGCAAGUCGAGCGGAGCACAUCGUUGGAAUCCUUCGGGAGGAAGAAGGUGUGGCUUAGCGGCGGACGGGUGAGUAACGCGUGGACAACCUGCCCUAUGCAGGGGGAUAACAUCCGGAAACGGGUGCUAAUACCGCAUAAGCGCACAGUACCGCAUGGUACGGUGUGAAAAGCUGAGGCGGCAUAGGAUGGGUCCGCGUUGGAUUAGGCAGUUGGCGGGGUAACGGCCCACCAAACCGACGAUCCAUAGCCGGCCUGAGAGGGUGGACGGCCACAUUGGGACUGAGACACGGCCCAG
Molecule: ribosomal RNA, 324 nt
Filed under: uncultured bacterium
Lineage: Bacteria
Description: bacterial SSU rRNA
Rfam family: Bacterial small subunit ribosomal RNA
Source: RNAcentral